GUGCCAGCCGCCGCGGUAAUACGUAGGUGGCAAGCGUUGUCCGGAAUUACUGGGCGUAAAGGGCGUGUAGGCGGUUUUUUAAGUCAGGCGUGAAAACUAUGGGCUUAACCUAUAGACUGCGUUUGAGACUGAGAGACUUGAGGAUCGGAGAGGGCAGUGGAAUUCCCAGUGUAGCGGUGAAAUGCGUAGAUAUUGGGAGGAACACCAGUGGCGAAGGCGACUGCCUGGACGACACCUGACGCUGAGGCGCGAAAGCUAGGGGAGCAAACGGGAUUAGAAACCCGUGUAGUCC
This 292-nucleotide ribosomal RNA is filed under the name uncultured bacterium. RNAcentral's name for it is "partial 16S ribosomal RNA". It matches the Rfam family "Bacterial small subunit ribosomal RNA", at positions 505 to 796 of the family's 1533-position model. The record is from RNAcentral.